ACGGACAUAGUUUAAUGGUAAGAACGGAGGUCUCCAAAACUUUCAGUGUAGGUUCGAUUCCUACUGUCCGUG
This 72-nucleotide transfer RNA is filed under the name Streptococcus sp. NLN76. Its description in RNAcentral is "tRNA-Trp". It matches the Rfam family "tRNA". From Rfam's summary of the family: Transfer RNA (tRNA) molecules are approximately 80 nucleotides in length. Their secondary structure includes four short double-helical elements and three loops (D, anti-codon, and T loops). Further hydrogen bonds mediate the characteristic L-shaped molecular structure. tRNAs have two regions of fundamental functional importance: the anti-codon, which is responsible for specific mRNA codon recognition, and the 3' end, to which the tRNAs corresponding amino acid is attached (by aminoacyl-tRNA synthetases). tRNAs cope with the degeneracy of the genetic code in two manners: having more than one tRNA (with a specific anti-codon) for a particular amino acid; and 'wobble' base-pairing, i.e. permitting non-standard base-pairing at the 3rd anti-codon position. Lineage: Bacteria; Bacillati; Bacillota; Bacilli; Lactobacillales; Streptococcaceae. The record is from RNAcentral.